Molecule: ribosomal RNA, 263 nt
Filed under: uncultured bacterium
Lineage: Bacteria
Description: partial 16S ribosomal RNA
Rfam family: Bacterial small subunit ribosomal RNA
Source: RNAcentral
GUCCACGCUGUAAACGAUGAGUGCUAGAUAUCGGGAAACAUGUUUUCGGUUUCAAAGCUAACGCAUUAAGCACUCCGCCUGGGGAGUACGAUCGCAAGAUUAAAACUCAAAGGAAUUGACGGGGGCUCGCACAAGCAGUGGAGCAUGCGGUUUAAUUCGAUGCUACGCGAAAACCUUACCAACCCUUGACAUGGUGGUCGUAGUCCGCAGAGAUGUGGGCGUCAGUUCGGCUGGACCACACACAGGUGUUGCAUGGCUGUCGU